This 332-nucleotide ribosomal RNA is filed under the name uncultured bacterium. Its description in RNAcentral is "bacterial SSU rRNA". It matches the Rfam family "Bacterial small subunit ribosomal RNA", at positions 568 to 898 of the family's 1533-position model. The record is from RNAcentral.
UGCGUAGGUGGUGGGGUAAGUCGGAUGUGAAAGCUCGGAGCUCAACUCCGAAAUGGCAUUGGAAACUACCCUGCUAGAGGAUUGGAGGGGGGACUGGAAUACUUGGUGUAGCAGUGAAAUGCGUAGAUAUCAAGUGGAACACCAGUGGCGAAGGCGAGUCCCUGGACAAUACCUGACACUGAGGCACGAAAGCUAGGGGAGCAAACAGGAUUAGAUACCCUGGUAGUCCUAGCCGUAAACGGUGCACGUUUGCUGUAAAAGGAAUCGACCCCUUUUGUGGCGUAGCUAACGCGUUAAACGUGCCGCCUGGGAAGUACGGUCGCAAGAUUAAA